CAGUAGCCGCGGUAAUGCGUAGGUGGCGAGCGUUGUCCGGAAUUAUUGGGCGUAAAGGGCUCGCAGGCGGUUUCUUAAGUCUGAUGUGAAAGCCCCCGGCUCAACCGGGGAGGGUCAUUGGAAACUGGGAAACUUGAGUGCAGAAGAGGAGAGUGGAAUUCCACGUGUAGCGGUGAAAUGCGUAGAGAUGUGGAGGAACACCAGUGGCGAAGGCGACUCUCUGGUCUGUAACUGACGCUGAGGAGCGAAAACGUGGGGAGCGAACAGGAUUAGAUACCCGCGUAGUCCCUGUCUCUUAUAA
This 301-nucleotide ribosomal RNA is filed under the name uncultured bacterium. RNAcentral describes it as "partial 16S ribosomal RNA". It matches the Rfam family "Bacterial small subunit ribosomal RNA", at positions 509 to 809 of the family's 1533-position model. The record is from RNAcentral.